AACGCUAGCGGCAGGCUUAACACAUGCAAGUCGAGGGGUAUGCUUCUGCGGAAGCAGAGACCGGCGCACGGGUGCGUAACGUGUAUGCAAUCUACCUUUUACAGAUGGAUAGCCCAGAGAAAUUUUGAUUAAUACCUCAUAGUAUAGCUGAAUCGCAUGAUUCUACUAUUAAAGUCACAACGGUAAAAGAUGAGCAUGCGUCCCAUUAGCUAGUUUGUAAGGUAACGGCUUACCAAGGCUACGAUGGGUAGGGGUCCUGAGAGGGAGAUCCCCCACACUUGUACUGAGACACGGACCAGACUCCUACGGGAGGCAGCAGUGAGGAAUAUUGGACAAUGGGCGCAAGCCUGAUCCAGCCAUGCCGCGUGCAGGAUGACGGUCCUAUGGAUUGUAAACUGCUUUUAUACGAGAAGAAACACUGCUUCGUGAAGCAGCUUGACGGUAUCGUAAGAAUAAGGAUCGGCUAACUCCGUGCCAGCAGCCGCGGUAAUACGGAGGAUCCAAGCGUUAUCCGGAAUCAUUGGGUUUAAAGGGUCCGUAGGCGGUUUAAUAAGUCAGUUGUGAAAGCCCAUCGCUCAACGGUGGAACGGCAAUUGAUACUGUUAAACUUGAAUUAUUAGGAAGUAACUAGAAUAUGUAGUGUAGCGGUGAAAUGCUUAGAGAUUACAUGGAAUACCAAUUGCGAAGGCAGGUUACUACUAAUGGAUUGACG
RNAcentral lists this ribosomal RNA (712 nucleotides) under Flavobacterium sp. IsoD2. Its description in RNAcentral is "bacterial SSU rRNA". It matches the Rfam family "Bacterial small subunit ribosomal RNA", at positions 32 to 745 of the family's 1533-position model. Lineage: Bacteria; Pseudomonadati; Bacteroidota; Flavobacteriia; Flavobacteriales; Flavobacteriaceae. The record is from RNAcentral.